This 388-nucleotide ribosomal RNA is filed under the name uncultured bacterium. RNAcentral's name for it is "bacterial SSU rRNA". It matches the Rfam family "Bacterial small subunit ribosomal RNA", at positions 420 to 806 of the family's 1533-position model. The record is from RNAcentral.
GGGUCGUACACUUCUUUUAUAUGGGAAUAAAGUUUUCCACGUGUGGAAUUUUGUAUGUACCAUAUGAAUAAGGAUCGGCUAACUCCGUGCCAGCAGCCGCGGUAAUACGGAGGAUCCGAGCGUUAUCCGGAUUUAUUGGGUUUAAAGGGAGCGUAGGUGGAUUGUUAAGUCAGUUGUGAAAGUUUGCGGCUCAACCGUAAAAUUGCAGUUGAAACUGGCAGUCUUGAGUACAGUAGAGGUGGGCGGAAUUCGUGGUGUAGCGGUGAAAUGCUUAGAUAUCACGAAGAACUCCGAUUGCGAAGGCAGCUCACUAGACUGUCACUGACACUGAUGCUCGAAAGUGUGGGUAUCAAACAGGAUUACAUACCCUGGUAGUCCACGCAGUAAA